GGUGGCGAGUGGCGGACGGGUGAGUAACGUAUCGGAACGUACCCAGUCGUGGGGGAUAACGCAGCGAAAGCUGUGCUAAUACCGCAUACGAUCUACGGAUGAAAGCGGGGGACCUUCGGGCCUCGCGCGAUUGGAGCGGCCGAUGUUAGAUUAGGUAGUUGGUGGGGUAAAGGCUCACCAAGCCGACGAUCUAUAGCUGGUCUGAGAGGAUGACCAGCCACACUGGAACUGAGACACGGUCCAGACUCC
Molecule: ribosomal RNA, 249 nt
Filed under: uncultured bacterium
Lineage: Bacteria
Description: partial 16S ribosomal RNA
Rfam family: Bacterial small subunit ribosomal RNA
Source: RNAcentral